CAGUCGCCACGGGAACACGUAGGGUGCGAGCGUUAAUCGGAAUUACUGGGCGUAAAGGGCUCGCAGGCGGUUUCUUAAGUCUGAUGUGAAAGCCCCCGGCUCAACCGGGGAGGGUCAUUGGAAACUGGGAAACUUGAGUGCAGAAGAGGAGAGUGGAAUUCCACGUGUAGCGGUGAAAUGCGUAGAGAUGUGGAGGAACACCAGUGGCGAAGGCGACUCUCUGGUCUGUAACUGACGCUGAGGAGCGAAAGCGUGGGGAGCGAACAGGAUUAGAUACCCCAGUAGUCCCUGUCUCUUAUAC
RNAcentral lists this ribosomal RNA (301 nucleotides) under uncultured bacterium. RNAcentral describes it as "partial 16S ribosomal RNA". It matches the Rfam family "Bacterial small subunit ribosomal RNA", at positions 509 to 807 of the family's 1533-position model. The record is from RNAcentral.